GUUGAGUCCUCACCAUUUCCCAGCCAGCAGGAAGGAGAAUGAAGGAAGUUGAGGAUACAAAUGGAGCCAAGGCUUUCAACCCAGAAUCUGCACAGCAAUCACUUCUUAAAAUGCAUCCACUGUUGGUGGAAAUGCCACCCUCACUCUUGACCAACUACCUCUCCUCUGGGAUUGACUGACCAGGACUGCACAAGGCCUAAGUGGGACAGGCACCAAGAGUUGAUCCAAGGAGAAGAAGUGACUAUGACGAGACCAUGAGUGCCAAAAGGCAGCGAAGGAUUGCCUAUGGGUGAA
Long non-coding RNA from Nannospalax galili (Upper Galilee mountains blind mole rat), 294 nucleotides. RefSeq lists it as uncharacterized. The record is from RefSeq and is a predicted model, not a curated record. NCBI's taxonomy places the organism in Eukaryota, Metazoa, Chordata, Mammalia, Rodentia, Spalacidae. The transcript has 3 exons.